Molecule: long non-coding RNA, 902 nt
Filed under: Monodelphis domestica (gray short-tailed opossum)
Lineage: Eukaryota; Metazoa; Chordata; Mammalia; Didelphimorphia; Didelphidae
Description: lncRNA (ENSMODG00000032718.2)
Source: RNAcentral
GGGUGUGGCUCCCCUGCUCUUUGAUGACUGGGCAUAGUCUUCAUUGGCAAUUGCUCCUUCCACUCUGCUAAAGCAUGGAAGGUGGAACUCCCUAAUUAGCUUAGGCCCUCUGCUCUUUAGUCAUAAAUAACCUCCACACUCAGCUACCAAAAAGGCAGGUAGAAGAUGGUCAAAACAAAAGUCUUUCCUGCCAUUAUUUCUGCAGGGAGAUUGCAGUAUUCUGUUUGAUAUUACUAUCUAACUUAGGGUUAGCCAUUCCCAAGAUCCUUUCUGGCUUAGCAUGCGAAUGAAUUUGAGCUAGAACAGAAGGUAAGAGGGGCACAGCGUGGAGAGAAUGAACAACAGAGCCAUGGCCACAGAGGGAUUUGGAUCAGGGGAAAGGCUGACUGAGAGAUAAGGGGUGGUGCACUGGACAAUCCAACAGCCAGUGCAAUGCUGCUGAGAGAAGAGGCCAUCCAUGCUCCAAAAGGCUCAACCAAGCUUCUACAUGAGUGUCGAGACAGGCUUCAGGAGACAGGCACCCUCGGGUGAUCACCCUGGGACAGCUCAAGGAUGGUAGUUGUCCCAUGAAGGCAGCCCAGAACAGGAGAUAGAUAGAGGGAAUAGGAUGGAAUGUCAUCUUUCUUCAAACUCCCAAAAGUCAGGAAGAGUCCAGGUAGAAGACUUCCACAUGAUGAAAUGACUUCUCUCUGCCUUUUGUGAGCAGGAAGAGUCUUCUGAAAGCAAGAAAAGGACUGCUCCAGGACUUCUCCUUUGGACUUCUUUGGAGAACUGCUCCUUGGGACUUCUGGUUUGAAGAGAUUCCUGCCUUGGUGGCUCUGCAAGGAGACCCUCUCUGCUUGUUGGCAAACUGGUGGGAUACUUCCUUCAGCAUGAGUUCUAUGGAGAGAUUCUUGUCCUUU